UACCGUGAGGGAAAGGCGAAAAGAACCCCGGCGAGGGGAGUGAAAAAGAACCUGAAACCGUGUACGUACAAGCAGUGGGAGCCCCACCACUAAGCCAGUGGUGAACUCCACAUACGCAUCCUUUGCUGAGGAUGCGGUUAACGGAGCGAAAGCGACGUUCAACCGCAAAAGAAGCAGAGGGGGCUUAGUGGUGGGGUGACUGCGUACCUUUUGUAUAAUGGGUCAGCGACUUAUAUUCUGUAGCAAGGUUAACCGAAUAGGGGAGCCGGAGGGAAACCGAGUCUUAAUUGGGCGUUAAGUUGCAGGGUAUAGACCCGAAACCCGGUGAUCUAGCCAUGGGCAGGUUGAAGGUUGGGUAACACUAACUGGAGGACCGAACCGACUAAUGUUGAAAAAUUAGCGGAUGACCUGUGGCUGGGGGUGAAAGGCCAAUCAAACCGGGAGAUAGCUGGUUCUCCCCGAAAGCUAUUUAGGUAGCGCCUCGUGAAUUCAUCUCCGGGGGUAGAGCACUGUUUCGGCUAGGGGGCCAUCCCGGCUUACCAACCCGAUGCAAACUGCGAAUACCGGAGAAUGUUAUCACGGGAGACACACGGCGGGUGCUAACGUCCGUCGUGAAGAGGGAAACAACCCAGACCGCCAGCUAAGGUCCCAAAGUCAUGGUUAAGUGGGAAACGAUGUGGGAAGGCCCAGACAGCCAGGAUGUUGGCUUAGAAGCAGCCAUCAUUUAAAGAAAGCGUAAUAGCUCACUGGUCGAGUCGGCCUGCGCGGAAGAUGUAACGGGGCUAAACCAUG
Molecule: ribosomal RNA, 792 nt
Filed under: Salmonella enterica subsp. enterica serovar Rubislaw
Lineage: Bacteria; Pseudomonadati; Pseudomonadota; Gammaproteobacteria; Enterobacterales; Enterobacteriaceae
Description: partial 23S ribosomal RNA
Rfam family: Bacterial large subunit ribosomal RNA
Source: RNAcentral